Molecule: long non-coding RNA, 726 nt
Organism: Mesocricetus auratus (golden hamster)
Lineage: Eukaryota; Metazoa; Chordata; Mammalia; Rodentia; Cricetidae
Exons: 3
Source: RefSeq, a predicted model, not a curated record
CUUAACCUCUCCCUGAUGUCACAAUCAGUACACUUCAUAAAUGCACUGACUAAUGUCCCCAGCAGUACAGUCCUUAAGUGUGAUUGAUGACUUGUUCUGUGACUAUAAAAGGUUUAUGUGACCACGUGCCCAGGCCAUGGCCACUGUUUGACUCAGAAUAACCCACCUCUUGCCGCCUUUGGACCACAGCUGGGUUUCAUACAUCACACACCUACCUCCAUGCACAAGAACAUUCCCAGGAGAGAAAAGACUCACCAGGAAGCCGGGACAAGGACAUAUAAUGGAAAACCACUGCUUCGGGGACUUGUAAAUGAACCCCUGCCACCCUCAGAUCCUAGCAGCCACACCCCACAGCUAUGGCCUUCCUGGGCAGCAGGCUUCCGAGUGACAGCAAACUAUAACAAGGUAAGACAGACGACGAUGACAGCACACUGGAAACGGACAAAAGCAACGGAAGGAAAAAGCCCCCAAGUGAGGGCGAGAAUCAGGCACCGGCUUGCUCGCACACCCCGGAACCAUGAAAACACUAAACUGGGAGCCGCAAUGUAAGCACAGAGGACCUCACGCAGACCCUGAACACCCGCCCAGUCUCUGGCGAGCCAGGUUGUCUCUCCUGGACUCCUAGACGCUGCGAGCCCCCCAACCUGAAGAGCACGCUCUGCUGUCUGUCUGCUGAGUCUUUGUAGCUGAUAUUUGCUAUUCAUUCUUUUUUUUUUUUUUUUUUUG